CUGGGGCAGCGGGUCGUGCGCGGCACGCAGGGCUAGCGGGAAGGCCUCGGCGAGCUUGGUGUUGUUGGGCAGGCCAUGCACGCGGCUGUCGGGCAGCGGCGUGCGGUGGCGGCACACCGGGCACGCGAUGGCGCCUGGCGGGCCGUGCCAGGGCGGCGGGCGCAGCGGGCGUUCAGGCGCGGUGGUAGCGGCGGCGGCGGCGGCGGCGCGGAGCUGCAGUUGGGUCAAGCACUCCUGGCAGAAGGUGUGCAAGCACGCCAGCAGCUUGGGCGCGCGCCGGUCUGCGUCGAAGUAGUUGUAGCAGAUCUUGCACUCGUAGUCCUCGAGCGGAGGGAGGCCGGAGAUCGCCACCGCUGCGCUCCGGGCUCCGGCCUCCCGACCGUCCCGGGCUCCCACCGCGGUGCUUCCUGCUCCUGUGGAGCUCCCAGGGCUGCUGGUUGGACUCUGCUCGCCGCCGCCGCUGUCGCUUGCCGGCGCUGCCAUGGCAUGAUCCGCCCCUCAUCAGGGUUAAGGAGCUCACCGGUGAUGUAA
Molecule: long non-coding RNA, 531 nt
Filed under: Sus scrofa (pig)
Lineage: Eukaryota; Metazoa; Chordata; Mammalia; Artiodactyla; Suidae
Description: lncRNA (ENSSSCG00060074149.1)
Source: RNAcentral